Molecule: ribosomal RNA, 444 nt
Filed under: Colletotrichum gloeosporioides
Lineage: Eukaryota; Fungi; Ascomycota; Sordariomycetes; Glomerellales; Glomerellaceae
Description: eukaryotic LSU rRNA
Rfam family: 5.8S ribosomal RNA (bases 71-224)
Source: RNAcentral
ACGUCGAAUUGGCGGAGUGCCAACUCUGAUGUAACGACGUUUCUUCUGAGUGGUACAAGCAAAUAAUCAAAACUUUUAACAACGGAUCUCUUGGUUCUGGCAUCGAUGAAGAACGCAGCGAAAUGCGAUAAGUAAUGUGAAUUGCAGAAUUCAGUGAAUCAUCGAAUCUUUGAACGCACAUUGCGCCCGCCAGCAUUCUGGCGGGCAUGCCUGUUCGAGCGUCAUUUCAACCCUCAAGCUCUGCUUGGUGUUGGGGCCCUACAGCUGAUGUAGGCCCUCAAAGGUAGUGGCGGACCCUCCCGGAGCCUCCUUUGCGUAGUAACUUUACGUCUCGCACUGGGAUCCGGAGGGACUCUUGCCGUAAAACCCCCAAUUCUCCAAAGGUUGACCUCGGAUCAGGUAGGAAUACCCGCUGAACUUAAGCAUAUCAAAAGGGGAAGGGAA